CCUACGGGUGGCAGCAGUGAGGAAUAUUGGUCAAUGGACGAGCGCCUGAACCAGCCAAGUCGCGUGAAGGAUGACUGCCCUAUGGGUUGUAAACUUCUUUUAUCAAGGAAUAAAACGAGGCACGUGUGCCUUUUUGCAUGUACUUUAUGAACAAAGAACGGCCAACCCCGUGCCAGCAGCCGCGGUAAUACGGUGGAGCCGAGCGUUACUCGGAUUUAAUGGGUUUAAAGGGAGCGUAGGUGGGUUGUUAAGUCAGGUGUGAAAGUUUGGGGCUCAACCGUAGAAUUGCAGUUGAUACUGGCAGUCUUGAGUUGGGGAGAGGUAUGCGGAAUGCGUGGUGUAGCGGUGAAAUGCUUAGAUAUCACGAAGAACCCCGAUUGCGAAGGCAGCUUACU
Molecule: ribosomal RNA, 395 nt
Filed under: uncultured bacterium
Lineage: Bacteria
Description: partial 16S ribosomal RNA
Rfam family: Bacterial small subunit ribosomal RNA
Source: RNAcentral